This is a long non-coding RNA of Alligator sinensis (Chinese alligator), 1031 nucleotides long. RefSeq lists it as uncharacterized. The record is from RefSeq and is a predicted model, not a curated record. The transcript has 5 exons. Lineage: Eukaryota; Metazoa; Chordata; Crocodylia; Alligatoridae.
CAGGGUUGAUCUAAAGAGAACUUGCCUGGGAGGUUUGCCGCUAUGGUGCUGGCUGGGAGGCUCUGGAGAGCCCAGCAGCACAAAUCGGACUCUUCUGAUCCUUUCUUUCUCUUCAGGAACAGAGACCUGCAUUCCCAAUGAUGCCCAGCCAGUCUGAAGCACCCUGUUCCCUGAGCUUUGGAUCCCUCCCUCCAUUGAGAACAGGAGACCAUGAUGGGGAAAUCGAGGCACGGCCAGGGUGGAUCCGUUCCCAGCGAGUUCUCCUCUGAUCCUAUGCGGAGCUUGGGAGUAGCACUGUGCAUACAAGCAAAACCACCAGGAGUUUGAACAAACUUGCCUCAAACUAUUUAUUAGGCAUCUGGAAACUCUUUGUCAUCCCCACUAUCUAUCUGAGCAGGGCUGUUUGGACCUGGAGGAGCAAUUUAGAUAAAUAUGGAAUCCAGACAAACUCUUGCCUCCUAUAGAUCAGAUGGAGGAGGAAGAUGGAACCAACCUCUCAUCAGUGGAUGCCAGCUGUGAGUGUUUCUUUGGCAGUGUCUUAGCUGGUUGUUGUGAACAAUAGACAAGGAAGCAAUCAGCAAGUAUACUGCCCUAGAAGUGCUGCACAUUGUUGGGCCUGCAUCGCACCUCGUCUUGUCACUGAGUAAGCCUCUAGGUUGGAGCCCUGCCCGCCCCUGCCGGUCCCACCCCAUGCCCUGUUCUGAAUUGGAGGUCAGGGCAGCAAGUGCUUUUGCUGGAAGAAGGGAGAGAAAACGAGGGAAGCUGUCGGGCCUGGAUGACACGGUGACUUGCUUCAUGCAAACAGAUGAAAGAGAAGCCAAGCAAGCUGCUGCUCACUCCCUCCACUUCCACCCACCUGUGCGCUUGUGGAUGCAGGAAAAUAACAUUUCCAGCCAUUGACCGCAAAUGUCAAGGAUGUCGGUAGCACUUUUACCCAUGAGGAAUUAUCUGGGCUCGAGCCUUGGGCUGGUAACAAGGAAACACUGCUUGUGUUUUUUUUUCGCCAUAGGGCCCUGGAGUGGGGCAGCAAG